GACGAACGCUGGCGGCGUGCUUAACACAUGCAAGUCGAACGGUAAGGCCCUUCGGGGUACACGAGUGGCGAACGGGUGAGUAACACGUGGGUGAUCUGCCCUGCACUUCGGGAUAAGCCUGGGAAACUGGGUCUAAUACCGGAUAGGACUCCGGACUGCAUGGUCUGGGGUGGAAAGCUUUUGCGGUGUGGGAUGGGCCCGCGGCCUAUCAGCUUGUUGGUGGGGUGAUGGCCUACCAAGGCGACGACGGGUAGCCGGCCUAAGAGGGUGACCGGCCACACUGGGACUGAGAUACGGCCCAGACUCCUACGGGAGGCAGCAGUGGGGAAUAUUGCACAAUGGGCGCAAGCCUGAUGCAGCGACGCCGCGUGAGGGAUGACGGCCUUCGGGUUGUAAACCUCUUUCAGCAUCGACGAAGCGAAAGUGACGGUAGGUGCAGAAGGAGGACCGGCCAACUACGUGCCAGCAGCCGCCGCCG
This 478-nucleotide ribosomal RNA is filed under the name uncultured bacterium. Its description in RNAcentral is "partial 16S ribosomal RNA". It matches the Rfam family "Bacterial small subunit ribosomal RNA", at positions 28 to 523 of the family's 1533-position model. The record is from RNAcentral.